GCCGGAGUGACGAAAUGGUAAACGUACUCGACUCAAAAUCGAGCGCUCGCAAGGGCUUGUGGGUUCAAGUCCCACCUCCGGCA
RNAcentral lists this transfer RNA (83 nucleotides) under Minisyncoccota bacterium. RNAcentral's name for it is "tRNA-Leu". It matches the Rfam family "tRNA". Rfam says of the family: Transfer RNA (tRNA) molecules are approximately 80 nucleotides in length. Their secondary structure includes four short double-helical elements and three loops (D, anti-codon, and T loops). Lineage: Bacteria; Bacillati; Minisyncoccota. The record is from RNAcentral.